This 90-nucleotide ribosomal RNA is filed under the name uncultured bacterium. RNAcentral's name for it is "partial 16S ribosomal RNA". It matches the Rfam family "Bacterial small subunit ribosomal RNA", at positions 1393 to 1482 of the family's 1533-position model. The record is from RNAcentral.
CCCGUCACAUCACGAAAGUGGGCUGCACUAGAAGCCGGUGUGCUAACCGCAAGGAAGCAGCCGUCCAAGGUAUGGCUCAUGAUUGGGGUG